This 464-nucleotide ribosomal RNA is filed under the name uncultured Comamonadaceae bacterium. RNAcentral describes it as "partial 16S ribosomal RNA". It matches the Rfam family "Bacterial small subunit ribosomal RNA", at positions 338 to 794 of the family's 1533-position model. The record is from RNAcentral. Lineage: Bacteria; Pseudomonadati; Pseudomonadota; Betaproteobacteria; Burkholderiales; Comamonadaceae.
CCUACGGGCGGCAGCAGUGGGGAAUUUUGGACAAUGGGCGCAAGCCUGAUCCAGCAAUGCCGCGUGCAGGAUGAAGGCCUUCGGGUUGUAAGCUGCUUUUGUACGGAACGAAAAGGCUCUGGCUAAUACCUGGGGCUGAUGACGGUACCGUAAGAAUAAGCACCGGCUAACUACGUGCCAGCAGCCGCGGUAAUACGUAGGGUGCGAGCGUUAAUCGGAAUUACUGGGCGUAAAGCGUGCGCAGGCGGUUUUGUAAGACAGGGGUGAAAUCCCCGGGCUUAACCGGGGAACUGCACUUGGGACUGCAGGGCUGGAGUACGGCAGAGGGGGAUGGAAUUCCGCGUGUAGCAGUAAAAUGCGUAGAUAUGGGGAGGAACACCGAGGGCGAAGGCAGCCCCCGGGGCCUGUACUGACGCUCAGGCACGAAAGCGUGGGGAGCAAACAGGAUUAGAUACCCCUGUAGU